Molecule: transfer RNA, 73 nt
Filed under: Pseudocuneopsis sichuanensis
Lineage: Eukaryota; Metazoa; Mollusca; Bivalvia; Unionida; Unionidae
Description: tRNA-Asn
Source: RNAcentral
UAGGGUAAAAGCUUACAAGAGCAGCUAACUGUUAAUUAGAAGAUUGCGAACAACAACCACCGCUUACCCUAUC